This 468-nucleotide ribosomal RNA is filed under the name uncultured bacterium. RNAcentral's name for it is "partial 16S ribosomal RNA". It matches the Rfam family "Bacterial small subunit ribosomal RNA", at positions 28 to 507 of the family's 1533-position model. The record is from RNAcentral.
GACGAACGCUGGCGGCGUGCUUAACACAUGCAAGUCGAACGGAAAGGCCCUGCUUUUGUGGGGUGCUCGAGUGGCGAACUGGUGAGUUACACGUUAGUAACCUGCCCUUGACUUUGGGAUAACUUCAUGCAACUUGGGCUAAUACCGGAUAGGAGCUCCUGCCGCAUGGUGGGGGUUGGACAGUUUCGGCGGUUGGGGAUGGACUCGCGGCUUAUCAGCUUGUUGGUGGGGUAGUGGCUUACCAAGGCUUUGACGGGUAGCCGGCCUGAGAGGGUGACCGGCCAAAUUGGGACUGAGAUACGGCCCAGACUCCUACGGGAGGCAGCAGUGGGGAAUAUUGCACAAUGGGAGGAAGCCUGAUGCAGCAACGCCGCGUGCGGGAUGACGGCCUGCGGGUUGGAAACCGCUGUCGCCUGUGACGAAGCGUGAGUGACGGUAAUGGGUAAAGAAGCACCGGCUAACUACGUG